GUUUUUGUAAUUGAAUAACAACGGUGGUUUUUCAAAUCACCGGUCCUGGGUAAAAUCCCUGUAGGAACU
RNAcentral lists this transfer RNA (69 nucleotides) under Amphiprion polymnus (saddleback clownfish). Its description in RNAcentral is "tRNA-Glu". It matches the Rfam family "tRNA". From Rfam's summary of the family: Transfer RNA (tRNA) molecules are approximately 80 nucleotides in length. The record is from RNAcentral. Lineage: Eukaryota; Metazoa; Chordata; Actinopteri; Pomacentridae.